CGGACGGGUGAGUAAUGUCUGGGAAACUGCCCGAUGGAGGGGGAUAACUACUGGAAACGGUAGCUAAUACCGCAUAACGUCGCAAGACCAAAGAGGGGGACCUUAGGGCCUCUUGCCAUCGGAUGUGCCCAGAUGGGAUUAGCUAGUAGGUGGGGUAAUGGCUCACCUAGGCGACGAUCCCUAGCUGGCCUGAGAGGAUGACCAGCCACACUGGAACUGAGACACGGUCCAG
RNAcentral lists this ribosomal RNA (232 nucleotides) under uncultured bacterium. Its description in RNAcentral is "partial 16S ribosomal RNA". It matches the Rfam family "Bacterial small subunit ribosomal RNA", at positions 99 to 334 of the family's 1533-position model. The record is from RNAcentral.